Non-coding RNA from Vicia faba (fava bean), 255 nucleotides. The record is from the annotation of a GenBank genome assembly. NCBI's taxonomy places the organism in Eukaryota, Viridiplantae, Streptophyta, Magnoliopsida, Fabales, Fabaceae.
AUGGCGUCUGAUCCUGAACAACCUCCACUUUCCUCUUUCUCAAAGGAAGGAAAGCCACCCGCGGGGGUUACAACUGAAAGGGAGCCUCUGCUUAAUGGGUUACAUGCCUCUCAAAACUAUUCCAUCACUGCUGCAAUUCUCCCAUUUCUCUUCCCAGCUUUUGGUGGUCUGCUAUUUGGCUACGACAUUGGUGCCACAUCUAGUGCAACAAUCUCCAUCCAGUCACCAUCACAAAGUGGAAUAAUUUGCUGUUAG